This 253-nucleotide ribosomal RNA is filed under the name uncultured bacterium. Its description in RNAcentral is "partial 16S ribosomal RNA". It matches the Rfam family "Bacterial small subunit ribosomal RNA", at positions 524 to 776 of the family's 1533-position model. The record is from RNAcentral.
UACGGAGGGUGCGAGCGUUGUCCGGAAUCAUUGGGCGUAAAGGGCGCGUAGGUGGCCCGGUCAGUCCGUGGUGAAAGCGCGGGGCUCAACCCCGCGUCGGCCAUGGAUACUGCUGGGCUGGAGCACUGUAGAGGCAGGCGGAAUUCCGGGUGUAGCGGUGAAAUGCGCAGAUAUCAGGAGGAACACCGGUGGCGAAGGCGGAUCUCUGGGCCAUUACUGACGCUGAGGAGCGAAAGCGUGGGGAGCGAACAGG